AUGGACGGAGAUCAUCGACGCAUGCUGGGAACUGGUGGACGUGUGGGAGUGGCACGACUACAACUUGUUGUCGCAGAAAAGGGUGGGGCUUUCGUCCUAGCCGUUCUUGAGGUCGGCGCACCUGGCUGCAGUGUCGUCGACCGGUUUGAGGCCACCGUUGCUCCUGUUGACGCUCUUGAGGUCGCAGCAGAACGAGCGGCUCUUGCUGACAUUCUUGAGGUCGCAGAAGGAGCCACCGUCACUGAUGCCGCUGACAUUCUUGAGGUCAUGGACGAAUUUGUCGUUGUUGAUGUUCUUGAGGUUGCGGACGGAUUUGUCGUUGUUGACGUUCUUGAGGUUGCAUGCUGA
RNAcentral lists this ribosomal RNA (348 nucleotides) under Triticum aestivum (bread wheat). RNAcentral's name for it is "partial small subunit ribosomal RNA". The record is from RNAcentral. Lineage: Eukaryota; Viridiplantae; Streptophyta; Magnoliopsida; Poales; Poaceae.